RNAcentral lists this long non-coding RNA (507 nucleotides) under Physcomitrium patens. Its description in RNAcentral is "long non-coding RNA (PPAT_LNC009122)". The record is from RNAcentral. Lineage: Eukaryota; Viridiplantae; Streptophyta; Bryopsida; Funariales; Funariaceae.
CGUAAUACGUGAAGUCUUGCUUGAGAAUGCUUCGAACACCUGGCUAUAGAAGAAAGAAUAGAAAUUAUAAUAACAAAAUCUUAAUUCUAAUAGAAUACUAACAAUGCUCUAAUUAGACAUUAAUAAUGCUAAGCAAGCUUAAUCAAAUUCAAAAAAACCUCAAAGAAAUUUCAAACCAACAAUAAAAAUUCUUAAAAAAAUGAUCACAAAUAUAACUCAAAUACAUCUCAAUUCAAUCUUAAUUUAAUUCUAGUUAAAAUCCUAUUGAACUUUAUUCAAACUUUAAGCCAAAACUAAUUAAAUCUUAAACCUUAAUAAAAUCCUAAAUCCUAAACCAAAUCCUAAAAAAACUUUAAAUCUAAUCUCAACGAAAUCCUAAAUCAAACCCUAAUUCUUGUCACGGACACAAAAUACAGACUUGAAAUCUAACAAGAAGUUCAAGAAGAAGUGGCAGAACUAGAUUAAACAGAUGAGUACAAGAACAACACCAAAAAGGUGAGCUAGAAC